UCGCGGCUUAUCACCGGCAGUCCCCUUAGAGUGCCCAACUGAAUGAUGGCAACUAAGGGCGAGGGUUGCGCUCGUUGAUGGACUUAACCAAACAUCUCACGACACGAGCUGACGACGGCCAUGCAUCACCUGUCACUUGGCUCAAUAAAGCACUCUCUACUUUCAUAGAAAUUCCAAGGAUGUCAAACCCUGGUAAGGUUCUUCGGUUAUCAUCGAAUUAAAGAACAUAAUCCACCGCUUGUGCGGCUCCCCGUCAAUUCCUUUAUGUUUUAGUCUUGCGACCGUACUCCACAGGCGGGAUACUUAACGCGUUAGCUUCGCUACUGAAGGGGUCGAUACCUCCAACAGCUAGUAUCCAUCGUUUACGGCGUGGACUAC
This 378-nucleotide unclassified non-coding RNA is filed under the name uncultured bacterium. RNAcentral describes it as "contains 16S-23S intergenic spacer region". The record is from RNAcentral.